Molecule: ribosomal RNA, 849 nt
Filed under: Bacillus cereus
Lineage: Bacteria; Bacillati; Bacillota; Bacilli; Caryophanales; Bacillaceae
Description: bacterial SSU rRNA
Rfam family: Bacterial small subunit ribosomal RNA
Source: RNAcentral
GUCGAGCGAAUGGAUUAAGAGCUUGCUCUUAUGAAGUUAGCGGCGGACGGGUGAGUAACACGUGGGUAACCUGCCCAUAAGACUGGGAUAACUUCGGGAAACCGGGGCUAAUACCGGAUAACAUUUUGAACCGCAGGUUCGAAAUUGAAAGGCGGCUUCGGCUGUCACUUAUGGAUGGACCCGCGUCGCAUUACCUAGUUGGUGAGGUAACGGCUCACCAAGGCAACGAUGCGUAGCCAACCUGAGAGGGUGAUCGGCCACACUGGGACUGAAACACGGCCCAAACUCCUACGGGAGGCAGCAGUAGGGAAUCUUCCGCAAUGGACAAAAGUCUGACGGAGCAACGCCCCGUGAGUGAUGAAGGCUUUCGGGUCGUAAAACUCUGUUGUUAGGGAAAAACAAGUGCUAGUUGAAUAAGCUGGCACCUUGACGGUACCUAACCAAAAAGCCACGGCUAACUACGUGCCAGCAGCCGCGGUAAUACGUAGGUGGCAAGCGUUAUCCGGAAUUAUUGGGCGUAAAGCGCGCGCAGGUGGUUUCUUAAGUCUGAUGUGAAAGCCCACGGCUCAACCGUGGAGGGUCAUUGGAAACUGGGAGACUUGAGUGCAAAAGAGGAAAGUGGAAUUCCAUGUGUAGCGGUGAAAUGCGUAGAGAUAUGGAGGAACACCAGUGGCGAAGGCGACUUUCUGGUCUGUAACUGACACUGAGGCGCGAAAGCGUGGGGAGCAAACAAGAUUAUAUACCCUGGUAGUCCACGCCGUAAACGAUGAGUGCUAAGUGUUAGAGGGUUUCCGCCCUUUAGUGCUGAAGUUAACGCAUUAAGCACUCCGCCUGGGGAGUACGGCCGCA